RNAcentral lists this ribosomal RNA (495 nucleotides) under uncultured bacterium. RNAcentral describes it as "partial 16S ribosomal RNA". It matches the Rfam family "Bacterial small subunit ribosomal RNA", at positions 30 to 507 of the family's 1533-position model. The record is from RNAcentral.
UGAACGCUGGCGGCGUGCCUAAUACAUGCAAGUCGAGCGAACGGACGAGAAGCUUGCUUCUCUGAUGUUAGCGGCGGACGGGUGAGUAACACGUGGAUAACCUACCUAUAAGACUGGGAUAACUUCGGGAAACCGGAGCUAAUACCGGAUAAUAUUUUGAACCGCAUGGUUCAAAAGUGAAAGACGGUCUUGCUGUCACUUAUAGAUGGAUCCGCGCUGCAUUAGCUAGUUGGUAAGGUAACGGCUUACCAAGGCAACGAUGCAUAGCCGACCUGAGAGGGUGAUCGGCCACACUGGAGCUGAGACACGGUCCAGACUCCUACGGGAGGCAGCAGUAGGGAAUCUUCCGCAAUGGGCGAAAGCCUGACGGAGCAACGCCGCGUGAGUGAUGAAGGUCUUCGGAUCGUAAAACUCUGUUAUUAGGGAAGAACAUAUGUGUAAGUAACUGUGCACAUCUUGACGGUACCUAAUCAGAAAGCCACGGCUAACUACGUG